GUAUCCGUAGCUCAAUUGGAUAGAGUGUUGGCCUCCGACGCCAAAGGUUGCGAGUUCGAACCUCGCCGGAUACGCCA
Molecule: transfer RNA, 77 nt
Filed under: Alphaproteobacteria bacterium
Lineage: Bacteria; Pseudomonadati; Pseudomonadota; Alphaproteobacteria
Also listed under: 1 other name
Description: tRNA-Arg
Rfam family: tRNA
About the family: Transfer RNA (tRNA) molecules are approximately 80 nucleotides in length. Their secondary structure includes four short double-helical elements and three loops (D, anti-codon, and T loops).
Source: RNAcentral